CGUAUGGUACCUGGCAAAAGAUCAGGUGGCGAUACGGCCUUAACAGAGGU
Thalassomonas actiniarum is the source of this 50-nucleotide non-coding RNA. NCBI's taxonomy places the organism in Bacteria, Pseudomonadati, Pseudomonadota, Gammaproteobacteria, Alteromonadales, Colwelliaceae. The record is from Rfam.